Molecule: long non-coding RNA, 1172 nt
Filed under: Lepidothrix coronata (blue-crowned manakin)
Lineage: Eukaryota; Metazoa; Chordata; Aves; Passeriformes; Pipridae
Description: lncRNA (ENSLCOG00000003287.1)
Source: RNAcentral
UUCUUUAACCCCAUUUUAUUUUUUCAGAAGUGAAUUUAUGUGAUGAGCUUUGCAGAUGUAUCAGCGAAGACAGCAUUUGUUCCACAGCCUUUUACUGAUGCACCAGUCCCCUGAGUGGAGAUGGACACACUAACUGUUGGCUUCUUCCCCCUGAAUCUUCACAUCCAGCACCAUAACCUUUGCUCUCUUGUUUCAAUGCCAGCAGACAGAAAACAUGGAAAAAGCUGAGAAGCUGAGGCUAGCUCAGUCCUUUCCUUCUCUGUGCUGUUCUCCAAGGAGCAAUCCGGAGCUCAGAGCAGUUCUUCUGAGGAAAGCCGUGUCCGUCUCUGAACUGGUUGCCAGGUACCAAAGCAUCCUGGACUGUGAUAGAAACAUGACUAAGCAAGAACAUCCCAAGGUGAGAGCCAAAGUGGGACAGGUUUUCCUAACGACAAAAUGUUCCAGUUCUUGGCAAUUAGAGACAAACCAAAACCUAACAUUUUUUACAAUAUCCAGUGCUGUUCUGAGGACACCCCAGAACAGGUUAGAUCCAAUUGUCUUUUAGUAGGUAAAGUUGGACUGGCAUAUAUGCUGGCAUAUAUUUUCCAUCCCAUGCUACAGGAUGGAAUGGAAAAUUAAUGUAUAACAUUCAGGUUGCUCUGAAGUGAGUACACUGCAGGGGUAGAGACCGUCAGCAGCUGUAGGACCUGGCAGAGGAUUUAGUACUGGUUAGAAAGUGAGAGAAGGAUCCAGCCUGAGGUAAAGGUACACAAAGUCAUUAAGGCACCCACUGGGCUGGCAGGGAUGACACUGAGGCAUCUCUGCCCUCCUGCACCACCAGCUGGAGGUUUUUUGAGGUUGCCCUGUGUGUUUCAAAUGACACCUACCAAAGAAAGUGGGUGAUUGUGUCAUUCUACCCCAGGGUGCAAAAAUCACUUUCUUGGUGCUUUUGAUUGUAAUGGGACUUAGACAUCAAGUCCACAGGUAGAUUUUGCUCACAGCUACAUUUAGAUGUCUAUUUCAGAAUCUUACACAAAAUUCCCCCCUAACUAGAAGCUGUUACUACCGUUCUCACAUCAUGGCAAAGGUGCACCUCCCAUCAACCAGUGUCCCUUAUGUUGCUUGCAAACUCAUUGGCAUAAGGUGCAGUUUUCAGCUCUGUGUUUGCAUGUUAAGUACUGCUUUGUCAUAAG